AUACGGAGGGUGCGAGCGUUGUUCGGAAUUAUUGGGCGUAAAGAGCAUGUAGGCGGUCUGUUAAGUCUGGUGUGAAAGCCCGGGGCUCAACCCCGGAAGUGCAUUGGAUACUGGCAGACUUGAGUAUGGGAGAGGAAAGCGGAAUCCCGAGUGUAGGAGUGAAAUCCGUAGAUAUUCGGAGGAACACCAGUGGCGAAGGCGGCUUUCUGGACCAAUACUGACGCUGAGAUGCGAAAGCGUGGGGAGCAAACAGGAUUAGAAACCCCUGUAGUCC
RNAcentral lists this ribosomal RNA (274 nucleotides) under uncultured bacterium. Its description in RNAcentral is "partial 16S ribosomal RNA". It matches the Rfam family "Bacterial small subunit ribosomal RNA", at positions 523 to 796 of the family's 1533-position model. The record is from RNAcentral.